UCGUGCUAGACGGGGCAGUAGCGGCGCCUUGUAACCCGCGAAUCCGCUAUAGCGGGGUCGAAGUUCGGCUGAGGGACUUCCGUGGGAAGUUUGCAGAUGAGAAAGUGGUGUUGAGGAUUGGGUCCUGCGCAACGCAGCCUCCUGAACCGUGUCAGGUCCGGAAGGAAGCAGCACUAAGGGAAUCGUUGCGUGUGCCGCAGGGCGGCCUGGUCUGAGCUAACUCCUCCUCUCGGCUUCUCAAGGGGUUUCGAAGCCGGAUGCACGG
This is a non-coding RNA of Tumebacillus flagellatus, 265 nucleotides long. It matches the Rfam family "Bacterial large signal recognition particle RNA". From Rfam's summary of the family: The signal recognition particle (SRP) is a universally conserved ribonucleoprotein involved in the co-translational targeting of proteins to membranes. The record is from Rfam. NCBI's taxonomy places the organism in Bacteria, Bacillati, Bacillota, Bacilli, Caryophanales, Alicyclobacillaceae.